RNAcentral lists this ribosomal RNA (253 nucleotides) under uncultured bacterium. RNAcentral's name for it is "partial 16S ribosomal RNA". It matches the Rfam family "Bacterial small subunit ribosomal RNA", at positions 524 to 776 of the family's 1533-position model. The record is from RNAcentral.
UACGGAGGGUGCAAGCGUUAUCCGGAUUCACUGGGUUUAAAGGGCUCGUAGGCGGCCAACUAAGUCAGACGUGAAAUCCCUCGGCUUAACCGGGGAACUGCAUCUGAUACUGGAUGGCUUGAGUUCGGGAGAGGGAUGUGGAAUUCCAGGUGUAGCGGUGAAAUGCGUAGAUAUCAGGAGGAACACCGGUGGCGAAGGCGGUGAUCUGGGCCGACACUGACGCUGUAGAGCGAAAGCGUGGGGAGCGAACAGG